UACGGGAGGCAGCAGUGAGGAAUAUUGGACAAUGGAGGCAACUCUGAUCCAGCCAUAUGGAGGGUGUGAAGAAGCCCCUAGGGUUGUAAAACACUUUAAGUUGGGAAGAAAAGAUAUCGGUUAAUACCCGAUGACCGUGACAUUACCAUCAGAAUAAGGACCGGCUAAUUCCGUGCCAGCAGCCGCGGUAAU
Molecule: ribosomal RNA, 192 nt
Filed under: uncultured bacterium
Lineage: Bacteria
Description: partial 16S ribosomal RNA
Rfam family: Bacterial small subunit ribosomal RNA
Source: RNAcentral